RNAcentral lists this long non-coding RNA (2883 nucleotides) under Heterocephalus glaber (naked mole-rat). Its description in RNAcentral is "lncRNA (ENSHGLG00000036626.1)". The record is from RNAcentral. Lineage: Eukaryota; Metazoa; Chordata; Mammalia; Rodentia; Bathyergidae.
GAGGAGCCAGAGAUCUGCUCUAGCUGCAGCAUAGGAGAGUAAGGAUACCCUUCCGGCCAGCCCAGUCCAAAGUUUGGAGCAACAGGAAAUGUGACCUCAGUCCCCACAUGCAGCCUGCUGGGCUGCACUGUGGAAAGCCAGGCGAUUUUCAGCUGAGUCCUGCAGCGGGAGGUGAUUUUCACUCAUGAUGCUGCCUGGCCCCGGUAUUCUCUGGGAAACGGGGCACAGCACGGGGUAGAAUUUCAUGGAAACCCAUCCGGGGAAAUGGCCCCAACCUCCCGGCAGAGGCGGGGGCUCCAGCAGAGACACUGCUCUUGUGCAGCGGGGUCUGCCUCGCACUCUUCAGUGAAAUCCAGCUCAUCCUGACAGCCCAGCCUUUCCUGGUAAACUCGCCUUCGGUUCUGCACAUCAAGGUGUCAGGGGGUUUCGUCGCAGCCACAGGGGAAGUGACUGAGACACUCAGGUUGUGAAAUGUCCAGCGGAUGGCGAGAGGACUUUCUCCCGUGCUUCCACGUUUCCUCGAGGAAUGCAGACCACUGUUGAGAACAGGUGUUCAAGAGGAAGCAAGGCUAAAUAGGUCGAGGCCCAUUUCCACACUUCCGAGCUACGCUGUGAGCCAAGACGGCGGCUCUUGCCUGUGGUUGUUGGAGGCUGAAGCGGAAGGAUGGCCUGAGCCCAGGAGGAGUCCAGGAAGGAGAAAACACUUUGCAUCAUGAGAAAGCAUGCAUUUCCCACCCUCUUUGCGGUAUCUCAGAUUGAACCGAGGGCCUUCACUGAACCACACCCUCAGCUCUCUUUAACAUCGAGGCAGUGUCUUGCUAAGUUGCCAAGGCAAGGCUCAAACUUUGUUUGGGGGGGGUGGGCACCAGAAUGGAACUCAGGACCUUGCACUUUCCAGGCAGGUGGCAGAACCACUGAGCUAAAUCCCUAGCCCCUAGGGCUCAAACUUUUAAUCCUCCUGCUUCAGCCUCCCAAGUGCUGGGAUCACAGGUGUGCGCCAUUGUGCCUAGCAGAAAAGCACAUGUCCCUAAGAAUUACUAGUUACCUAAAGGGCCUAGGGAUUGAUAACCAGAACUGCAAAGAGCAAGGGAAGCAACUCUGUAUGUGAGGAACAAGAGGCGUCUUUUAUACAGGAAGUUACAGAGUGUGAGAAGGUUUUGGGGCCAAAAGAAAGUAAAGUUUUUGUCCUUAAAGUGACUAUGAUUCCAAAGUAGGAAAGAGAGGUAGAAUACAGAACUGAGAGUUUGGAUGAACUGUGAAAGAUUUGAAGAAGUUGUAAAAGGGGCUUGGAAGGAAUGAAUAAAAAAUGUCAGGCAAACUAAAGAGGAUUCCCCCGAAUGCAGGGGUGGCAGGGAGCCUACACCUGAGUCCCCAGAAGGUGGCUUGAAGGGAAGUAUGGAACAGAGUGGGUCUCACUGCAGGUUCCAGGGGCACUGCUCUGUGACGAUCUAUGGGAAGCAGCAACCAGGCUGGUGACAAACGGGACUUUAACUGGGGACACCACACCGGAAGUGCCCAUGGUCCCCAAUUAAAUGAUGCUCUUGGGUGCCCCAUAGUCCAAGUACCUGGCAUGGACUCAAUGAGACCACAGCCGUCUGCCACGGGGGCUGUACAUGGGCAAUGCUGCAGGACAUUUGUCAGAGUCUCAUUUCCCUUUGCAACUGUGACCUAGAAGUAAUAUUUGGCUAUGACCACACAAUCUGGGAAAUUUGAAUUUCUCACAAGACUGGCCUUGUGUCUCUGGCUCCAUGACUAACAGUGUUUGGGACACGGGAAAGGAUGAUUUUUUGGGGAUGAAAUUCGUCAUUAUGUUGCUUUAUUUCCUGACUUCUAUAAUGAGGUUAACUUUAGUUUCCAGAGCUGGAUGGAACAUAAUACCAAGAGAGCAGAACAGCUAAAACUAUUAGCAAUGGAUAAGGGUCAGAAUGAUUUGCAUAUUGAAAACCGAUUUUUCAUAGAAUUAGGGCUAACAUCUCUUCGUGAGGUUACAGCCAUGGAGUCAAACUGGCCUGAAGAGAAGCGAGAACGGGGAGAUGUUGCUGAGUUACCCUGAAUACUCUAAACACCAAGGAAGUAUUUCAUGAUGUGCAGGCGACUGCUCGGUCGCGGUGGCUGCAGAAUUCUCUCCUGCUGCAUGCAGCCUGCAAAUGUCACAUGGCUCACAGAACAUGGAGGACUAGGAGCAUCAGGACUGGGCCAGGAUGGCCAGGGCCCAGGGCGCCUCCUGAGCGGGGAAGGACCUGUGCCUGUGCUGGGCCUCGGCCUGCAGUCCUGGAGCAGCUGGGCCCUCAUCCCUGUGCCCAGGGCGGUGCUGGCCGCAGUGGAGCCGCAGGCUGAGUUCCCUGCAGAGGCCCCUGGACCUGCAGGCCCGGCAGGCUGCUGGAUUGAGCAAGGUCUGGGUUUCAGGAGCCGGUUCUGUGGGGCUCUCGCGGUGCCUUUGACAGUUGUUUACUUUCAGUCUGCGCUGCUGUUGGGUUGAACGCUCGGAAUGGAUGGUGAAGGUCAGAAGGUCCUGAUCUCCCACCAACCCGAGAGCUGAGCCUCCUGUUACGAAGCCGUGGGUGGGGCCGCUGCCCGUCUGUCCUCCCAGUGCUCUGGGCGGCUGAGGUAGGAGGUCAAAAGUUUAGCAGUUUAGCCACUUUAGCAAGACCCUGUCCCUGCAACAGGAAAAGAACUGGGGAUGCAGCUCCAUGCAGAGGCUCUGGGUUGGGUCACCAGUACUGGGGAUGAUGAUGAUGAUGACAGAGAUAAAAGGGCACAUUUCAGAGAAAGGUAUUAUUCUCCCUCUUUGCAUCUUAAGUUCUCAUCCUUGAUCUUAGGAGGGAAACAUUCUAAACAGCCUGGUGCGAAUUUUCCUAGAUGUUAGUAAAUGUAAGUAUGUAC